Molecule: ribosomal RNA, 468 nt
Filed under: uncultured bacterium
Lineage: Bacteria
Description: partial 16S ribosomal RNA
Rfam family: Bacterial small subunit ribosomal RNA
Source: RNAcentral
GACGAACGCUGGCGGCGUGCUUAACACAUGCAAGUCGAACGGAAAGGCCCUGCUUUUGUGGGGUGCUCGAGUGGCGAACGGGUGAGUAACACGUGAGUAACCUGCCCUUGACUUUGGGAUAACUUCAGGAAACUGGGGCUAAUACCGGAUAGGAGCUCCUGCUGCAUGGUGGGGGUUGGAAAGUUUCGGCGGUUGGGGAUGGACUCGCGGCUUAUCAGCUUGUUGGUGGGGUAGUGGCUUACCAAGGCUUUGACGGGUAGCCGGCCUGAGAGGGUGAGCGGCCACAGUGGGACUUAGAUCCGGCCCAGACUCCGACGGGCGGCAGCAGUGGGGAAGAUUGCACAAUGGGCGGAAGCCUGAUGCAGCAACGCCGCGUGCGGGAUGACGGCCUGCGAGUGGUAAACCGCGUUCGCCUGUGACGAAGCGUGAGUGACGGGAAUGGGUAAAGAAGCACCGGCUAACUACGUG